Molecule: unclassified non-coding RNA, 836 nt
Filed under: Hevea brasiliensis (rubber tree)
Lineage: Eukaryota; Viridiplantae; Streptophyta; Magnoliopsida; Malpighiales; Euphorbiaceae
Source: RNAcentral
CGAAGAUAUAGCCUUGAGUACAUUCCUUUUCCAGGGCCACCAGUUGAAAAGGAUCCACCUCCGCCCAUCAGCAUCUGAAGAACAGUCAAGGACAUGGCAUUGGAGUCAUCAGACCAACCAUGAGGAAAUUCAAAUGCGAGAGCAAAAUGGAUUCUUUGGUCCCCUGAAUCUGCUUGACAGCGAAAAUCACCUCCUGUGUAAACAGAUUUUGGCACUACAGUAUUACUAGCUUCAGGUAGAUCAGAUAAAAGGGGCUCUGCAAUGCACACCAGUUCCUCAUGUUCAACACCAGAAGCCACAAGUACCAUCCGGCAAGCAGUAAAAUUUUCGGCAACAAAUUCCUCCAAGAUUGUACCGUUCAAUCUAUUUAUUGCAGAUUCAGGUGCCAAAAGAGGAUUAGCUAAUGGACCAGAAAAACCAGCAGAAUGAAUUGCUUCCAAAAGCAAUCCUUGAGGAUUGUUAGAGGUUUCACUAAUCUCAGCUUUGACCUUCUGAAGUUGUUCAUUGACCUCCCAAUCAAGGAAGACAGGAUUUCUCACACAAUCAAUAAGCAACUCCACCAUCUCUGGAACAUAGGUCUUUAGAGCAUCAUAGGUGUAUCCCAUCUGCUCCCGAGAUGCCGAGGCUUGCACAUUGCCCCCAAUUGCCUCAACUUCACGCACAAUACGCAAAUGGCUGCGGUUUCUUGUGCUUUUGAAUGCCAUCCGCUCCAGUAAAUGUGUGAUCCCCAAUGAGGCUGGAGACUCGUAUAUUGAACCACAGUUAACAUACAACCCUACUGAUGCUGCAGGAUUCAGUGAUAUUUCAGAGGCAAUUUUCACGCCAUUUGAGAGUGU